RNAcentral lists this transfer RNA (73 nucleotides) under Nitrosarchaeum sp. Its description in RNAcentral is "tRNA-Val". It matches the Rfam family "tRNA". Rfam says of the family: Transfer RNA (tRNA) molecules are approximately 80 nucleotides in length. Their secondary structure includes four short double-helical elements and three loops (D, anti-codon, and T loops). The record is from RNAcentral. Lineage: Archaea; Thermoproteati; Nitrososphaerota; Nitrososphaeria; Nitrosopumilales; Nitrosopumilaceae.
GGGCUCGUAGUCUAGUGGCUAUGACGUCGCCUCGACACGGCGAAGGUCCCCGGUUCGAGUCCGGGCGGGCCCA